RNAcentral lists this ribosomal RNA (254 nucleotides) under uncultured bacterium. RNAcentral's name for it is "partial 16S ribosomal RNA". It matches the Rfam family "Bacterial small subunit ribosomal RNA", at positions 524 to 776 of the family's 1533-position model. The record is from RNAcentral.
GACGUAGGGCGCGAGCGUUGUCCGGAAUUAUUGGGCGUAAAGAGCUCGUAGGCGGUGUGUCACGUCGGCCGUGAAAACCUGCAGCUUAACUGUGGGCGUGCGGUCGAUACGGGCAUCACUGGAGUUCGGCAGGGGAGACUGGAAUUCCUGGUGUAGCGGUGAAAUGCGCAGAUAUCAGGAGGAACACCGGUGGCGAAGGCGGCACACUGGGCCGAUACUGACGCUGAGGAGCGAAAGCGUGGGGAGCGAACAGG